UGCCUAGGAAUCUGCCUGGUAGUGGGGGACAACGUUUCGAAAGGAACGCUAAUACCGCAUACGUCCUACGGGAGAAAGCAGGGGACCUUCGGGCCUUGCGCUAUCAGAUGAGCCUAGGUCGGAUUAGCUAGUUGGUGGGGUAAUGGCUCACCAAGGCGACGAUCCGUAACUGGUCUGAGAGGAUGAUCAGUCACACUGGAACUGAGACACGGUCCAGACUCCUACGGGAGGCAGCAGUGGGGAAUAUUGGACAAUGGGCGAAAGCCUGAUCCAGCCAUGCCGCGUGUGUGAAGAAGGUCUUCGGAUUGUAAAGCACUUUAAGUUGGGAGGAAGGGCAGUAAGUUAAUACCUUGCUGUUUUGACGUUACCGACAGAAUAAGCACCGGCUAACUCUGUGCCAGCAGCCGCGGUAAUACAGAGGGUGCAAGCGUUAAUCGGAAUUACUGGGCGUAAAGCGCGCGUAGGUGGUUCGUUAAGUUGGAUGUGAAAGCCCCGGGCUCAACCUGGGAACUGCAUCCAAAACUGGCGAGCUAGAGUACGGUAGAGGGUGGUGGAAUUUCCUGUGUAGCGGUGAAAUGCGUAGAUAUAGGAAGGAACACCAGUGGCGAAGGCGACCACCUGGACUGAUACUGACACUGAGGUGCGAAAGCGUGGGGAGCAAACAGGAUUA
This 670-nucleotide ribosomal RNA is filed under the name Pseudomonas sp. BFF-8. Its description in RNAcentral is "bacterial SSU rRNA". It matches the Rfam family "Bacterial small subunit ribosomal RNA", at positions 114 to 780 of the family's 1533-position model. The record is from RNAcentral. Lineage: Bacteria; Pseudomonadati; Pseudomonadota; Gammaproteobacteria; Pseudomonadales; Pseudomonadaceae.